GGUCCCGUAGCUCAGCUGGAUAGAGCACCGGAUUCCUAAUCCGGGGGUCGUGGGUUCGAAUCCCGCCGGGGUCA
Molecule: non-coding RNA, 74 nt
Organism: Devosia psychrophila
Lineage: Bacteria; Pseudomonadati; Pseudomonadota; Alphaproteobacteria; Hyphomicrobiales; Devosiaceae
Source: Rfam